AGAAUCAACGCUGGCGGCGUGCCUAACACAUGCAAGUCGCACGAGAAAGGGGAGCAAUCCCUGAGUACAGUGGCGCACGGGUGAGUAACACGUGAAUGAUCUACCUCCGAGUGGGGAAUAACUGAGAGAAAUCUUAGCUAAUACCGCAUAAUACCCACGGGUCAAAGCAGCAAUGCGCUUGGAGAGGAGUUCGCGGCAGAUUAGUUAGUUGGCGGGGUAAUGGCCCACCAAGACGAUGAUCUGUAUCCGGCCUGAGAGGGCGCACGGACACACUGGAACUGAAACACGGUCCAGACUCCUACGGGAGGCAGCAGUGGGGAAUUUUGCGCAAUGGGGGAAACCCUGACGCAGCAACGCCGCGUGGAGGAUGAAGCCCCUUGGGGUGUAAACUCCUUUCGAUCGGGAAGAUAAUGACGGUACCGAUAUAAGAAGCCCGGCUAACUUCGCGCCAGCAGCCGC
Molecule: ribosomal RNA, 459 nt
Filed under: uncultured bacterium
Lineage: Bacteria
Description: SSU rRNA
Rfam family: Bacterial small subunit ribosomal RNA
Source: RNAcentral